GUUAGAUAGUUAAGACACACACUAAACUAAACAGAGAGAAAGUGACUCACACAAACAAAAAGAAUAUCAUGCGAAAAGCAAUGGUGGAAGAUUCCAAAAACAGGGACCGAAUUCUAGACCGCCCGAUAGGUAGGAGAUUGUCCGCAUCACGACGGUUGAAAACCGAACGGACUCAAUCUAUGUGAGUACAGUGCAGGACAACAAAUAUGUAUAAAAUGAAAAUUGACCUUUGAAUCUUCCAUUUAGACCAAAACUUCCGCAUGACAUUUUUGAGUUUAGCAAAGCCAUCUUGACUAGGAAACCUUGACCGAUUGAACCCUUGAAAAAGGUCCCAUACGGACCGAAACGUCGGGAAAAAUCAUAAA
This is a long non-coding RNA of Aedes albopictus (Asian tiger mosquito), 365 nucleotides long. RefSeq lists it as uncharacterized. NCBI's taxonomy places the organism in Eukaryota, Metazoa, Arthropoda, Insecta, Diptera, Culicidae. The record is from RefSeq and is a predicted model, not a curated record. The transcript is spliced from 2 exons.